Molecule: ribosomal RNA, 1297 nt
Filed under: uncultured bacterium
Lineage: Bacteria
Description: bacterial SSU rRNA
Rfam family: Bacterial small subunit ribosomal RNA
Source: RNAcentral
GAACGCUUGCGGCGUGCCUAAUACAUGCAAGUCGAACGGAGUGUAUCGAUUUCGGUUGAUAUCUCAGUGGCGUCCGGGUGAGUAACACGUAGCUGACCUGCCCUUGACAGGGGGAUAACCUCGCGAAAGCGAGGCUAAGACCGCGUACGCUCGUGAGGAUUAGAAGCCUCGUGAGGAAAAACUACGGUUGGUCAAGGAGGGGGCUGCGCUCCAUCAGCUAGUUGGUGAGGUAAAGGCUCACCAAGGCAGCGACGGAUCGGGGACCUGAGAGGGUGACCCCCCACACUGGAACUGACACACGGUCCAGACUCCUACGGGAGGCAGCAGUAAGGGAUAUUGCGCAAUGGGCGAAAGCCUGACGCAGCAACGCCGCGUGCAGGAAGAAGGGCUUCGGCUCGUAAACUGCUUUUCUGGGGGACGAGUAAGGACGGUACCCCAGGAAGAAGUCUCGGCUAACUACGUGCCAGCAGCCGCGGUAAAACGUAGGAGGCGAGCGUUAUCCGGAUUUACUGGGCGUAAAGCGCGUGCAGGCGGUUUGGUAAGUUGUGCGUGAAAGCUCCCAGGCUCAACCGGGAGAGGUCGUGCAAGACUGCCAGACUAGAGUUAGAGAGAGGCCAGUAGAAUUCCGGGUGUAGUGGUGAAAUGCGUAGAGAUCCGGAGGAAUACCAGAGGCGAAGGCGGCUGGCUGGCUCUAAACUGACGCUCAGACGCGAAAGCAUGGGGAGCGAACGGGAUUAGAAACCCCGGUAGUCCAUGCCGUAAACGAUGCUCACUAGACGUUGGGGGGGCAACCCCUCAGUGCCGAAGCAAACGCUAUAAGUGAGCCGCCUGGGGAGUACGGCCGCAAGGCUAAAACUCAAAGGAAUUGACGGGGGCCCGCACAAGCAGCGGAGCGUGUGGUUUAAUUCGGGGCUACACGAAGAACCUUACCUGGGUUUGACAUAGCAGUGGUAGUGAAGCGAAAGCGGAACGACCUUCGGGAGCUGUUACAGGUGCUGCAUGGCUGUCGUCAGCUCGUGUCGUGAGAUGUUCGGUUAAGUCCGGUAACGAGCGCAACCCUCGGGCCUAGUUACAAGUGUCUAGGCCGACUGCCCGGAGGAACUGGGAGGAAGGUGGGGAUGACGUCAAGUCAGCAUGGCCUUUAUAUCCAGGGCUACACACACGCUACAAUGGUCGGUCCAAUGGGAAGCCAAGCCGCAAGGCGGAGCCAAUCCUGAAAAGCCGAUCUCAGUUCGGAUUGUCGGCUGCAACUCGCCGGCAUGAAGUGUAAUCGCUAGUGGCGCAGGUCAGCCAUACU